GAAGGAGCAGGUGGAUUAGUUGUGCAGGUGGGACUGGAGGACAUAGUUAGAAGAACCAUCAUGACACACCAAUGGGUGAAGUUGUGGAUCUCUCUCCUCUACGGUUUAUCUGCUGCUUACUCUGAUUCUGUUAAAAUGAUUCCAGUGACUGGGAAGAUACCAGUGAUCACAGUUGGCGUGAGUCAAUCCCACAACAGGCAGGUCUGCAGCACGUGGGGUAACUACCACUACAAAACCUACGAUGGGGACUUCUUCCAGCUGCCCUACACCUGUAACUACGUGUUGACUUCGCUGUGCAAAAGCAGAAGUGGCUAUGAG
Long non-coding RNA from Esox lucius (northern pike), 318 nucleotides. The record is from Ensembl. Lineage: Eukaryota; Metazoa; Chordata; Actinopteri; Esociformes; Esocidae.